Molecule: ribosomal RNA, 374 nt
Filed under: uncultured organism
Description: partial 16S ribosomal RNA
Rfam family: Bacterial small subunit ribosomal RNA
Source: RNAcentral
GUAGGUGGCAAGCGUUGUCCGGAAUUAUUGGGCGUAAAGCGAGCGCAGGAGGUUCUUUAAGUCUGAUGUGAAAGCCCACGGCUCAACCGUGGAGGGUCAUUGGAAACUGGAGAACUUGAGUACAGAAGAGGAAAGCGGAAUUCCACGUGUAGCGGUGAAAUGCGUAGAGAUGUGGAGGAACACCAGUGGCGAAGGCGGCUUUCUGGUCUGUAACUGACGCUGAGGCGCGAAAGCGUGGGGAGCAAACAGGAUUAGAUACCCUGGUAGUCCACGCCGUAAACGAUGAGUGCUAAGUGUUAGGGGGGUUUUCCGCCCCCCUUAGUGCUGCAGCUAACGCAUUAAGCACUCCGCCUGGGAGUACGGCCGCAAGGCUG